Molecule: ribosomal RNA, 253 nt
Filed under: uncultured bacterium
Lineage: Bacteria
Description: partial 16S ribosomal RNA
Rfam family: Bacterial small subunit ribosomal RNA
Source: RNAcentral
UACGUAGGGUGCAAGCGUUGUCCGGAAUUAUUGGGCGUAAAGAGCUCGUAGGCGGUUUGUCGCGUCGAAUGUGAAAACCCGGGGCUCAACCCCGGGCCUGCAUUCGAUACGGGCAGACUAGAGUUCGGUAGGGGAGUCUGGAAUUCCUGGUGUAGCGGUGAAAUGCGCAGAUAUCAGGAGGAACACCGGUGGCGAAGGCGGGACUCUGGGUCGAUACUGACGCUGAGGAGCGAAAGCGUGGGGAGCGAACAGG